This 274-nucleotide ribosomal RNA is filed under the name uncultured bacterium. RNAcentral describes it as "partial 16S ribosomal RNA". It matches the Rfam family "Bacterial small subunit ribosomal RNA", at positions 523 to 796 of the family's 1533-position model. The record is from RNAcentral.
AUACGGAGGGUGCAAGCGUUAAUCGGAAUUACUGGGCGUAAAGCGUGCGUAGGUGGUUUGUUAAGUCAGAUGUGAAAGCCCCGGGCUCAACCUGGGAACUGCAUUUGAAACUGGCAUACUAGAGUAUAGGAGAGGAAAGUGGAAUUUCAGGUGUAGCGGUGAAAUGCGUAGAUAUCUGAAGGAACAUCAAUGGCAAAGGCAGCUUUCUGGACUAAUACUGACACUGAGGUACGAAAGCGUGGGUAGCAAACAGGAUUAGAAACCCCAGUAGUCC